RNAcentral lists this transfer RNA (65 nucleotides) under Teredo sp. TBF02. RNAcentral's name for it is "tRNA-Trp". The record is from RNAcentral. RNAcentral also lists the same sequence under 1 other name. Lineage: Eukaryota; Metazoa; Mollusca; Bivalvia; Myida; Teredinidae.
AAGACAUUAAGUUAAUUAGACUGCGGCACUUCAAAUGCUGAAGUAAACAGGGUGUUUAUGUCUUG